This is a long non-coding RNA of Helianthus annuus (common sunflower), 3029 nucleotides long. RefSeq lists it as uncharacterized. The transcript has 8 exons. NCBI's taxonomy places the organism in Eukaryota, Viridiplantae, Streptophyta, Magnoliopsida, Asterales, Asteraceae. The record is from RefSeq and is a predicted model, not a curated record.
CAGACCGGAAGAUCUUCGUGGACCAUUUGGAGAGUUUGGACCCCUGAAGGAUGUUUACUUACCGCUUGACUAUUAUACUGGCGCGGACCAGUAUGGUAGCCGUUGCAUUCAACAGAAACUUGAAACCACUACUAGCGAGGAUAAAAAACAUGUUUUUUCAAGAGAUUUUCCCUCAUGCUCUUACUUUGAUGACCGAUGUCUUUGGAAAUUAUGUGAUUCGGAAGGUGUUGUCAACAACUUAUCUUUUAUUAUGUAACCGUCACAUAAAAAUUAUGCCUUUUUUUGCAACUAUAAAAAAUUUUAACUGCUCUCUGUUUUAAUUUUUCGAGCAUUGAAUGCCAGCUCAGCGAAGAGAAUUGGCUGGAAAGCUGUUGGGCCAUGUUUUGUCCCUUAGUCUUCAAAUGUACGGCUGCCGAGUUAUACAGAAGGUAAUAAUAUGUUGCACAUGUGUUAUCUAAUUUAGUGAUUUUACCUACAUUAUUAUGUAUAUGUGGUUGUAAAAUUCACAUUAUUAUGUUAGUUGAUUUGCAUAUGGUAUAUUAGGGGUGAUGAUGGUCAUGUUAGGUUGGUUUUUACAAAAUUUUGGGAUAAUUAUAGUUUCUAAGACGACAAACAUGUUUUUGGUGGAUCAUGUUAGGUUGGUUUGUAAAACUGUUUCUUGUCAUAUGGAGAUGAUUUCCGUAUUUUUAUUGUGAAAAAAAAAUCUACAGAGUUGAAUAGAGAUUUAGAAGACACUGUCGCAUAAACCUGGAUUUAGCAUGUAUUUAGGUAUAUCCACCACAUGUUAGAAUCUGAAUUUCAGUGUGUUAUAUAUCCACCUAUAAUCGGAGGUCAAUGUGUAUGCAGUAAAGUGGCUUAAUCUGAGUAGUCAUGAAUGGAGGUAUAAUCACAAUCAGGGGCGGAACUACAAGAGGGUCGGGGGGUCAGUUGACCCUCCGGCGAGCAAAAUUUUCAAUUUAUCAGAGUACUUAACGAUUUUUUUUUGUAUAGUUGACCCCGUGGACUGUCUCGCGUAAAGCAUUAAAAUUAAAAGAAAAAAUUAGAGAUUUUAAAAGAUUUUCCGGCUGGUGAACGAUGGUCCGGUGGCGGCGAGUGGUGGUCCGACGGUGGCAAGCGGUGUUGGUCCGCUGGAUUGUAAGUAUUUGAGAAAUUGAAUGAAGAAGUCUGAGACACGUGAUAUUUGGUAUAUUAUAAAUGGGCUUUAGAGUCAAUCUGGGUUUUUUGUAAAAUGAUGAGUUUAGCCCAAAAUAAAACCUAAUUUUUUAAUGAUACAUGUAUUGUUUUCUACACUGGUAGAAGAUGAAAUCAAGAGAUGGCGCCCAAAGGUCGUGGGUUGAAGCCGAUCGAUCUACCUUGCCACACCUCAAUAAGUUCUUUCCUACUAUUUGAUGAUGCUGAAGGAAAAUGCAUUGGAGUUCAAGAUUCGGACGAGAAAGAUUGGCUUUCAAUGUCAGUACUCGGCCAAAUAAUACCAACAAGAUGUACUUCCUGGAAAGUUUUGAGCCUUAUGUUUGAUCAAUGAAGUUGGCUGAAGGUGAUACACGUAACUGAAUUUUUAACUUUCUGUAAGUUGGAACCUGAUCGAGGGGAGAAAUGCUUUGAAGCACCCAAGGCACUAAAAAGACUUUAAUGGCUUCUUUCGGGCUCAUUUGGGUCAUCUUGCUACAAUGAGUGUGCCCUCCAAGGACGAAAGGUCGGAGUGGUUAAUCUUGGCCAAAUGAUGCUCAUCGAUGGGACGAAAUAGAUUGCAAGAGGGAUUUAGAUGGCAUCAUCUGCUCAGGUGUUGAACGCCAGUCCUCUGCAUUGCAUCAUACUUCUCAUCAUUUUUCCACUCUUCUCAUUUUCAAGCAAUGCUUUACCCAACACCCCCACCUGUGACUGACUGGAAUACGUUAUAGGGAUUCCCUGGCAGCCACUCCGGUCAAGAAGUUGCUGGCAUCUCUAAGCUGAAAUCCUACCUUAAUAAGUUCAGAUACAUCACUAACAAUAACAAUAACAGUAACAAUCAGCCCACCAGCUACAACAAAUUCAACGAUUACUUUGAUGACGCGCUUGAACAUGGCAUAAAAAUUUACCAAAAUACUUCAACUUAAACACCACAGGCAUACUCAACAGCUCAACGGUUAACUAGAUGGUUAAACCGAGAUGCGGAGUGCCUGACAUUGUUAAUGGAACGGCGCUCAUGUACGAGCAUUCUUACGCAACGAUUGAUCCUGAAAUUCCGGAAGCGAGAAAUUUCACUUACGCUUUCGAUCCGAAAAAUAAACUUUCCAAUGAGAGCAAGCGAGUUUUCGCUAACGCAUUCAAGCAGCGGUCGAAUUGGUCUCAAUUAAAGUUUAUAGAAUCCAAUACCUACUCCACUGUUGAUACUAACCAACCCAGAAAAGAGCUGUGUGAAUUGCAAGCCUAAUCCAACUAUAGAACAAUAUUGAACGACAAAGUUAUUCAAAAGAGUCAUUUUGUCAAAGGUAUGGGGCGGCGUAUGGGACGACGGAGAGUGGCGUUGGAUGGCAUCGAUGGGAGUGAUGAGGCCUGAGUUGGUAACGAAGUUGAUUGUUCAAGUUGUUAUAGUUGUUAUAGCUGGAGCGUUGGGUAUUUACCGUCUGAUUAUUGUUAUGAUUCUUCAUCGCUUGAAGUUGGUGUACAGAAUGACUAUGUGCGUGACGAAAAUGUUCAUGAUGCCUAUGUCGAGCUGAUGUUUGUCUCUGGUUUGUGUAAAACGCUUAUCAUUAAUUUAAAUUUAUUUGAGGCUGAUUCAUUUAAUUGCAAAUUCCAGGAUUAAGUUAUACCUUUGAUGCUUAAAUCCAAUGAUUUGUAUGUUUUUUAUUAGGGCUUAUAUUGACCAUAUAAGUAGAGGCCUAUUAAUAUGAAGGAACUUGAGAUCAUUGAACACGUUGGGCUUGAUUCCGUUGUAUUCUUCAGGAUUUAUAUCCAUUCAAUGUGUACCUUAAUUCUUCUCUUUUUCAUAUGGGUUUGUAUUUAUUUGCUCGAAUAAAUCACGGUUGAUCUUAUUGUUAAUAUUUUUUAUU